RNAcentral lists this ribosomal RNA (406 nucleotides) under uncultured bacterium. Its description in RNAcentral is "partial 16S ribosomal RNA". It matches the Rfam family "Bacterial small subunit ribosomal RNA", at positions 30 to 526 of the family's 1533-position model. The record is from RNAcentral.
AUUGAACGCUGGCGGCAGGCCUAACACAUGCAAGUCGAGCGAGCGGCGGACGGGUGAGUAAUGUAUGGGGAUCUGCCUGAUGGAGGGGGAUCACCACUGGAAAAGGUCUCUAAUACCGCAUACCAUCAGAUGAACCCAUAUGGGAUUAGCUUGUAGGUGAGGUAACGGCUCACCUAGGCGACGAUCCCUAGCUGGUCUGAGAGGAUGAUCAGCCACACUGGGACGGAGACACGGCCCAGACUCCUACGGGAGGCAGCAGUGGGGAAUAUUGCACAAUGGGCGCAAGCCUGAUGCAGCCAUGCCGCGUGUGUGAAGAAGGCCUUCGGGUUGUAAAGUACUUUCAGCGAGGAGGCGUUACCCGCAGAAGAAGCACCGGCUAACUCCGUGCCAGCAGCCGCGGUAAUAC